This 393-nucleotide ribosomal RNA is filed under the name uncultured bacterium. Its description in RNAcentral is "partial 16S ribosomal RNA". It matches the Rfam family "Bacterial small subunit ribosomal RNA", at positions 523 to 918 of the family's 1533-position model. The record is from RNAcentral.
AUACGGAGGAUGCAAGCGUUAUCCGGAUUUAUUGGGUUUAAAGGGUGCGUAGGCGGUUUGCUAAGCGGGAGGUGAAAUGCCGGCGCUCAACGUCGGAAGUGCCUCCCGAACUGGUGGACUUGAAUGACUCUGCCGUGGGAGGAAUGUGUAGUGUAGCGGUGAAAUGCCUAGAGAUUACACAGAACACCGAUUGCGAAGGCAUCUCAGGAAGGGUUGAUUGACGCUGAGGCACGAAAGCGUGGGGAUCAAACGGGAUUAGAUACCCUGGUAGUCCACGCAGUAAACGAUGAUGGCUAACCGCUGGGCUUAUCAGUUCAGUGGCCAAGCGAAAGCGAUAAGCCAUCCACCUGGGGAGUACGGCCGCAAGGUUGAAACUCAAAUGAAUUGACGGGG